This 254-nucleotide ribosomal RNA is filed under the name uncultured bacterium. RNAcentral describes it as "partial 16S ribosomal RNA". It matches the Rfam family "Bacterial small subunit ribosomal RNA", at positions 524 to 776 of the family's 1533-position model. The record is from RNAcentral.
UACGUAGGUGGCAAGCGUUGUCCGGAUUUACUGGGCGUAAAGAGCGCGCAGGCGGUCGUUCAAGUCGCGUGUGAAAGCCCCCGGCUCAACUGGGGAGGGUCACGCGAUACUGAUCGACUCGAAGGCAGGAGAGGGUAGUGGAAUUCCCGGUGUAGGGGUGAAAUCCGUUGAUAUUAUGGGGGAACACCAAAAGCGAAGGCAGCUUACUGGGACAUUACUGACACUGAAACAUGAAAGCGUGGGUAGCGAAUGGG